GUGAACGCUGGCGGUAGGCCUAACACAUGCCAGUCGAACGGCAGCACAGUAAGAGCUUGCUCUUACGGGUGGCGAGUGGCGGACGGGUGAGGAAUACAUCGGAAUCUACUUUUUCGUGGGGGACAACGUAGGGAAACUUACGCUAAUACCGCAUACGACCUACGGGUGAAAGCAGGGGAUCUUCGGACCUUGCGCGAUUGAAUGAGCCGAUGUCGGAUUAGCUAGUUGGCGGGGUAAAGGCCCACCAAGGCGACGAUCCGUAGCUGGUCUGAGAGGAUGAUCAGCCACACUGGAACUGAGACACGGUCCAGACUCCUACGGGAGGCAGCAGUGGGGAAUAUUGGACAAUGGGCGCAAGCCUGAUCCAGCCAUACCGCGUGGGUGAAGAAGGCCUUCGGGUUGUAAAGCCCUUUUGUUGGGAAAGAAAGGCAGCAGGUUAAUACCCCGCUGUUCUGACGGUACCCAAAGAAUAAGCACCGGCUAACUUCGUG
RNAcentral lists this ribosomal RNA (491 nucleotides) under uncultured bacterium. RNAcentral's name for it is "partial 16S ribosomal RNA". It matches the Rfam family "Bacterial small subunit ribosomal RNA", at positions 29 to 507 of the family's 1533-position model. The record is from RNAcentral.